RNAcentral lists this ribosomal RNA (369 nucleotides) under uncultured bacterium. RNAcentral describes it as "bacterial SSU rRNA". It matches the Rfam family "Bacterial small subunit ribosomal RNA", at positions 9 to 353 of the family's 1533-position model. The record is from RNAcentral.
GAGUUUGGGUGCAUAGCUCAGAGUGAGACGUUGGCGGCGUGCCUAACACAAAGCAAACCGAACGAUUCCACGAAUAGCAAUGCUAUUCGGGAAGAGUAGCGAACGGGUGAGUAACACGUGAGUAAUCACCCCUCGAGUAGAGGAAUAAUUCCGCGAAAGCGGGGCUAAUACCGCAUAAUACUCUGGGGCAUAAGCCUUUAGAGUCAAAGCUUUCCGAGACAAUCGGAAAGGCGCUUGAGGACGAGCUCGCGGCCUAUUAGCUAGUUGGUGGGGUAAUGGCCUACCAAGGUUAUGAUGGGUAGCCGGCUUGAGAGGGUGUACGGCCACACUGGGACUGAGACACGGCCCAGACUCCUACGGGAGGCAGCA